UGGUGGGCUGCAGAACAUGUGCUUCCUUCGUGUCAUAUGUCUGCUGACCAUCACCU
This 56-nucleotide microRNA precursor is filed under the name Bos taurus (domestic cattle). The record is from RNAcentral. Lineage: Eukaryota; Metazoa; Chordata; Mammalia; Artiodactyla; Bovidae.